UUUGCAUGAUACUUGGUUGCUUCACUAUAUUUACCAUUUAAUUUUAAAUCAGAUAUGCAUUGCAAUGAGUAUGUUAAUAUGAAGACUUUGAACGCUGAGUUGUCGGCGUUUUGUUGAUUUGAAGGAUACUUUAUAGAAGAUGAAUGUGAAUACAUUAGAUUAUUUUACAAAAGUCUAUAUUUGAAUCGUAUGCUUAUUGUCGACAAAUAAUGAUUUCAAAUUAUAUAUCGCCCGAAUUGUAAAGUUACUAUUAACCUUAGUCUAAACUUGCUGCAGCGCUACAAACCCAAAACAGUAUAUAUUUAAUGACUGCAUAAGCUGUCCGCGUAACACUUUAUGUUGUCUAGGAAUAAAUUUCAGUGUACGGGCAUAAGUUUGUACAUUGUUAUUACUCAAACAAAAGGAUUUCACUUCUGUAGCACGCAAAGGAAAAUAAUGCUUUAAUAAAUGUGUUAUUACGAUAAAUAAUCGUAUAUAUUUCAUCCGAUGAAAAUCCUUACCAUCGACAAAUCAAGUACCCAAAGGUUACAAGAGUACAACUAUCAACGAUAAGUAUAUACAAGGAAACUCAUAGUUUAACAUAAGAAUAUCAGUAUUCAAACUUUAUGCUUCGAAGCGAGUUGGCGGUUAAUUACAAAUACCCUGCCUUCUGGAGUCAUAUCAGAGCGUAAAAAAGAAGGAAGAAGUAGCCUAGGCCAGUUGAUAAACUGGAGUCCGUGGGCAAAACAGUAAUAAAGAGAUGCAACUAUUCCCAAAAAUGUCAGGAUCAAAAGAAUUGAAGGUGGAAGGAUCGUAGAAGAAGAUCUAGAAAACAAUGUCAUGAAGAAAAGGAUUAAACAUGCCAAUAAUAUAUAAGGGACACAACGAAUAGUAAGAGGACGUAAAUCUAAUCUAUAUCGGAAGUUAACAUCGGGUCUAAACUGUCCAAGUACUAAAUCAUAAGCAUCUUGACGUGCUCCAUCAUAAAAAUUAUUUAAAAUAUAACGUUUAGCAGAGUUAACAAAAUCGUUAAAAGCGCCUUUUCGAGUUCGAAUACCGGUUCUAGUAAAAUCGGUUUUCAAAGCUCCUGUACCAGAAUAAGAAAGACUAAUGUAAUCUGCAUUAUCAGACCAAAUGUUGCAAAAAAUGUUAUCAAGAGGAAUGACGGAACGAAGGGGAUGGGUAGCACCUAUAAUUCCGCAUUUACGAAGUUGAUUCGUAAGCACCCAGCGACCUAUACAGCUUUGGACCACAUUGGUUCUAUCAAGACAAUCCAUGCAGUUGGAGCGUACAACGCCAUUCUGACGAGAUAAAACACGGUACUUUUGAGUGUCUAAUGUAGUGUAGCCUUGCUCUUCUAACUCGGGUUGUAUUUCAUUUAAAAGGAGUGAAACCCGGUCCCACCUCAUAUGGCUACAUUCUUUAUGAAAGUCAAAAUAAUGAUAAUGGAUAUGGGGAUUAUCCAAACGACGUAUAACAUUUUCAUAUAACUGUUUAAUAGGAAGCUCAUGUCCUUUACAGUUGACCAAAUUAACUACAACCUGGUCACCGUAUAUGGAUAUUUGCUCGUCGAAAUGCUUUUUUGCAGCGGCUGCAGCCAUUGAAGCAGAAUUUGCAACCAUCAAUGGUUUAUAGCGAAGAUUAUUAACCUCUGCCCAAAAAGCAGGAACACUACCGCGGGUCUGAACAUGUGAAUAAGUGACCUCUGACUUUUCGUCUGAAACGAUAGUAAUCUGCUCAGUUUCAUUGAAGUUGGCGGGGUUUCCAUUCUCGUCUAAACCUCUGGUAAAAUAUCUAGUACCGGCGCGUUGUUUAGAGCGUCGAGAUAUUAAUGCUAACGUGAUUGUUCGUCCCUUAACAAUAGUGGAAGCAGAAGUGAUGAAGCCGUAAAUCAUUGGCGUAAUGAAAAGUGAUACUUCAGAAUGGGCACCGAUAAGAUCAAUGAAAUCUUUACUAGCAAACUCGUUCCAAAAAAAUCGUUUAUCACUUCGAAGAAUAGGUGAGGCCUUUCCCUCAUCCGUACAAGAACGUUGUAGGGAGUUAGUAAGGUCCCAUGUGUACGAGAAGUAAAAAGGUCCUGUUUUCAAAUGAUUUUGUAACAAAUUGUAUAAAUCCAAUUCAUCUUGAUCGUCAGCUAGUAGGUUACGAUAGGGAAUAACUUCAAAUUUAUGAACACGAUAUAUUUUAUGUCCCAAAAUUUGGGCUGCACUAGAUUUUUCUGUAGCUAAAAUAAGAUAUUUAUCUUUUUUCAGCUUGAUUGAACCAAACAAUGUGACACUAUUUUCUUUGCUGCGGGCAACUGGUUUCAACUCGUCCGGCUCAAAACUAACUGCACCACUUUCUCGGUCAAUUGUUAAACAACAAUCUUCUCGACGAAGCUUAAAUUGCUUCUCGUUUGCUUCAAACUGAACCAUGAAGAAAUUUUCUAAAGUUUUUGUAGGAUAGAUACCAAGAUCUGUGAAGUUGAUGGUUGGUAGACGGCAGACAACGAACCUGCUUACUGCUGUACUGUAACAUACGGUUUUCUAUGCUAAGUCAUGUGGUA
This is a non-coding RNA of Schizosaccharomyces pombe (fission yeast), 2524 nucleotides long. The record is from the annotation of a GenBank genome assembly. Lineage: Eukaryota; Fungi; Ascomycota; Schizosaccharomycetes; Schizosaccharomycetales; Schizosaccharomycetaceae.